This 484-nucleotide ribosomal RNA is filed under the name uncultured bacterium. RNAcentral's name for it is "partial 16S ribosomal RNA". It matches the Rfam family "Bacterial small subunit ribosomal RNA", at positions 30 to 507 of the family's 1533-position model. The record is from RNAcentral.
AUUGAACGCUGGCGGCAGGCCUAACACAUGCAAGUCGAGCGGAUGAAGGGAGCUUGCUCCUGGAUUCAGCGGCGGACGGGUGAGUAAUGCCUAGGAAUCUGCCUGGUAGUGGGGGAUAACGUCCGGAAACGGGCGCUAAUACCGCAUACGUCCUGAGGGAGAAAGUGGGGGAUCUUCGGACCUCACGCGAUCAGCUGAGCCUAGGUCGGAUUAGCUAGUUGGUGGGGUAAAGGCCUACCAAGGCGACGAUCCGUAACUGGUCUGAGAGGAUGAUCAGUCACACUGGAACUGAGACACGGUCCAGACUCCUACGGGAGGCAGCAGUGGGGAAUAUUGGACAAUGGGCGAAAGCCUGAUCCAGCCAUGCCGCGUGUGUGAAGAAGGUCUUCGGAUUGUAAAGCACUUUAAGUUGGGAGGAAGGGCAGUAAGUUAAUACCUUGCUGUUUUGACGUUACCAACAGAAUAAGCACCGGCUAACUUCGUG